RNAcentral lists this ribosomal RNA (447 nucleotides) under uncultured bacterium. RNAcentral's name for it is "partial 16S ribosomal RNA". It matches the Rfam family "Bacterial small subunit ribosomal RNA", at positions 29 to 523 of the family's 1533-position model. The record is from RNAcentral.
AGCGAACGCUGGCGGCAGGCUUAACACAUGCAAGUCGAACGCCCCGCAAGGGGAGUGGCAGACGGGUGAGUAACACGUGGGAACGUACCCUUUGGUUCGGAAUAACCUGGGGAAACUCAAGCUAAUACCGGAUAAGCCCUUAUGGGGAAAGGCUUACUGCCGAAGGAUCGGCCCGCGUCUGAUUAGCUAGUUGGUAAGGUAAUGGCUCACCAAGGCGACGAUCAGUAGCUGGUCUGAGAGGAUGCUCAGCCACACUGGGACUGAGACACGGCCCAGACUCCUACGGGAGGCAGCAGUGGGGAAUAUUGGACAAUGGGGGCAACCCUGAUCCAGCCAUGCCGCGUGAGUGAUGAAGGCCUUAGGGUUGUAAAGCUCUUUUACCCGGGACGAUAAUGACUGUACCGGGAGAAUAAGCCCCGACUAACUUCGUGCCAGCCGCCGCGGUAA